UCAGGGACAUUGUCCAUACCUUGAGAACACGCAGCAGACCAACAUGGGUAUGGAUAAUACCAGCUGCAGUGUGACCCAGCUGUGAAAAGAAUAAGCCAGGCCUCCCAGGAGCAUCUGCCCAGCGCUGGGGGAAGUCAGCAUUACAAUCAUA
Long non-coding RNA from Perognathus longimembris pacificus (Pacific pocket mouse), 151 nucleotides. RefSeq lists it as uncharacterized. The record is from RefSeq and is a predicted model, not a curated record. NCBI's taxonomy places the organism in Eukaryota, Metazoa, Chordata, Mammalia, Rodentia, Heteromyidae. The transcript has 3 exons.